GAGAUACCCCUAUGACGCAGGUCUUGCUUCAGUGGGGCUUUGGUGCUCACUGAGUCUGCCCUUGAGUGUGUCACU
This 75-nucleotide microRNA precursor is filed under the name Myotis brandtii (Brandt's bat). Its description in RNAcentral is "mir-9229 microRNA precursor family". It matches the Rfam family "mir-9229 microRNA precursor family". Lineage: Eukaryota; Metazoa; Chordata; Mammalia; Chiroptera; Vespertilionidae. The record is from Rfam by way of RNAcentral.